AGUGAACGCUGGCGGUAGGCCUAACACAUGCAAGUCGAACGGCAGCACAGUAAGAGCUUGCUCUUACGGGUGGCGAGUGGCGGACGGGUGAGGAAUACAUCGGAAUCUACUUUUUCGUGGGGGAUAACGUAGGGAAACUUACGCUAAUACCGCAUACGACCUACGGGUGAAAGCAGGGGAUCUUCGGACCUUGCGCGAUUGAAUGAGCCGAUGUCGGAUUAGCUAGUUGGCGGGGUAAAGGCCCACCAAGGCGACGAUCCGUAGCUGGUCUGAGAGGAUGAUAAGCCAGACGGGAACUGAGACACGGUACAGACUCCUACGGGAGGCAGCAGUGGGGAAUAGUGGAAAAGGGGCGCAAGCCUGAUCCAGCCAUACCGCGUGAGUGAAGAAGGCCUUCGGGUUGUAAAGCCCUUUUGUUGGGAAAGAAAAGCAGCAGGUUGAUACCCCGCUGUUCUGACGGUACCCAAAGAAUAAGCACCGGCUAACUUCGUG
RNAcentral lists this ribosomal RNA (492 nucleotides) under uncultured bacterium. RNAcentral's name for it is "partial 16S ribosomal RNA". It matches the Rfam family "Bacterial small subunit ribosomal RNA", at positions 29 to 507 of the family's 1533-position model. The record is from RNAcentral.